RNAcentral lists this ribosomal RNA (305 nucleotides) under uncultured bacterium. RNAcentral's name for it is "bacterial SSU rRNA". It matches the Rfam family "Bacterial small subunit ribosomal RNA", at positions 333 to 654 of the family's 1533-position model. The record is from RNAcentral.
GAGGGCCUACGGGACGCAGCAGUGGGGAAUAUUGCACAAUGGGGGAAACCCUGAUGCAGCGACGCCGCGUGAGUGAAGAGGUAUUUCGGUAUGUAAAGCUCUAUCAGCAGGGAAGAAGAAAGACGGUACCUGACUAAGAAGCCCCGGCUAACUACGUGCCAGCAGCCGCGGUAAUACGUAGGGGGCAAGCGUUAUCCGGAUUUACUGGGUGUAAAGGGAGCGUAGACGGCAGGGCAAGUCUGGAGUGAAAGCCCGGGGCCCAACCCCGGGACUGCUUUGGAAACUGCCAUGCUAGAGUGCUGGAG